Molecule: long non-coding RNA, 7896 nt
Filed under: Ananas comosus (pineapple)
Lineage: Eukaryota; Viridiplantae; Streptophyta; Magnoliopsida; Poales; Bromeliaceae
Description: long non-coding RNA (ACOM_LNC025893)
Source: RNAcentral
GAGGUUCGGCGCGUGGAUCUCGCGUGAAGCCGAGGAUUCGGUGGACGCUUCGAGGAGUUGAGGCGUUGACGCUGCGAGGAGUUGCAGCAAGGUCGAUUGGUGGAUUCCUAUCGAUCGAGGACCGGCAAAGAUCACCGUCAACGAGAAAUCGGUAAAUUGAGUCGUGUGUUUUUGUCGAAAUCACUUGUACUCAAGUUUUCUUAGUGGAUUUUCUUUGCGUGAUCGGUCCCGUGGGUUUUUCACUCCGAAUUGGAGUUUUCCCACGUUAAAUUCUCGGUGUGCUGUUUUAAUUUCCGCUAUUUUGUUUUGUUUGCAUCGAGAUUUUUCGAGUUUGCCGGAUUUACACCUAUUCACCCCCCUCUAGGUGUUACUUACCUUUUAGAUCCUCGGGAUCCAUAUCUCACAAGUGGUAUCAGAGCGGGUAUAGGUUGUAAUUCAUGGCUGAGGGCGGUAACAUCAAUCGACCCCCGCUCUUCGAUGGCACUAACUAUGCUUAUUGGAAAGUCCGUAUGAGGGCGUUUCUUAUUGCUAUCGACGAGCGGGUUUGGCAAGCCAUUGAAUUCGGAUGGAAAAAUCCUACCGAAGUUGUCGAGAAUGUUACCGUGCCGAAACCUAGGAAUAAAUGGACGAAAGAGGAAAAUGAACUAUCUUCGUUCAACGGGAAAGGUAUCAAUGCUUUAUUCAAUGCUUUAAACCAAACUGAAUUUUCUCGCGUCUCGGCGUGCGAAACCGCCAAAGAGAUUUGGGACACUUUGCGAGUUACACACGAGGGUACAAGUUUGGUUAAGAUUCAAAAAUUGCAAAUGCUUACUAGUAGAUUUGAUUCCAUUCGUAUGGAAGAACAUGAAUCUUUUACCGAGUACUAUACUCGUUUGCAAGACAUUGUAAACACGUGUGCUAACUUGGGCGAGAAAAUUCCCGAUUCCAAAAUUGUUCGAAAAAUUUUGAGAACCCUUCCCGAACGAUUCCGUCCUAAGGUUGCGGCUAUCGAAACGGUUAAACAUCCUGAUGAACUCAAGGUAGAAGAACUAGUAGGUGCUCUUCAAACUUAUGAAAUGACUUUUCCAUCUAAUUCAUCUUCUUCCAAGUCUUUCUCUAAAGCCUCAGGGAUGGCUCUAAAAUCAACAAAAGGAGAUGUUUCUUCAACCUCAUCAGAUUCAGAGUCGGAGCAAAGCUUGGAGGACUUUGAAAAACAACUUGCACUUCUAACAAAGAAGUUUCGUCGGAACUUUAGAAAGAAGUUUCCUCCCAAGUCUACUUCAUCCAAGACAAACAAAUCUAAAGGGGGUUCGUCUUCUUCUUCCUCGUCAAAAUACAGAAAAUCUGAUAACUCUCAAAAGGACUCUACAAAAGAGAAGAAAAGCAGUGAAGGUCAAAUUCAAUGCUACAAGUGUAGGGGCUUUGGCCAUAUAGCAUCUGACUGUCCUAAUACAAAGUCAUUGAAGAAGAAAGCUAUGCAAGCAGUGACUUGGGACGACUCCUCAUCUGACGAUUCUACUUCGAGUGAAGAGGAUGUGAAUGCCACAGCUCUAAUUGCACACGAUUCAACUUUCAUGUGUUUAGCAUCUGCUGACUUGACCUCUACUACAUCUAUACAAGAGAAAUCAUCUUCGGAGGACUCAUCGGAUGGAGAAUCGGACGAAGAUGACAUGGUAGCAGCAUAUCAACAAUUGGUUGUUGAAUCGAAGAAGAUGGCUAAACAUAACAAGAGACUGCGGCGAAGUCUGCAUGAGUUGGAACAAGAAAAUUCAAAAUUGGUCUCGUUAACAAAGGAUCUAGAGCAAGAAAGAGACGGGUUGACCAAGGCUUACAACUCUUUGCUUGAGAAGUGUUCGUUACUUGAAAAAGAAAAGGAGACUGAAGUGGAGAACAUCAAUUAUCUUACUAAGCAAAAUUCAGAAGUUAGAGAAGCAAAUAUGGAAUUCACCAAGAUGAUCAUUCAACUGAAGUCGGAUUUGAACCAAUUUUCAUCUGGCUCGAGCAAACUAGACAAGAUGCUUGGACUUGGUCAAACAAAUAAACUUGGACUUGGUUAUGAACGGACCUAUGUUGACCAAGCAACAAAGAAAGAUGGCGGACAUUCAUCAACUGCCGUUCCUAAGCUCUAUGGUAAAUUCGUCCCUCCUCAAAAUAAUCUGACUAACAAAGCUUGUCAUAUUUGUGGUGCUUUAGGACACAUAAAGAAGUUCUGCAAACAAAAGGGAAAGAGCUCAUCAACACCCUUGAAUCACAGAACAUUACUUUCGAAGAAUGACUUUAAAUCAAGAGGGAAGUCAACUUGGACUCCAAAGAAGGUUGAUGCUAAGAAGAGACAAAUAUGGACACCAAACACUCCGGGGUCAAAGGCAAAACACGCAUGGAAAUCAAAGAAGGAGGAUGUGAAGAAGAAUUCAAUUCAAAUCGUCGACAAGCCACGAUCAACAAGAGCAAGCAAACUCACACAGCCCAAAACACGUAAGGUUUGGGUGCGCAAAGGUGAACUCUUCCCAUGCCUAGUUAUUCACACUUCGCUUCAUGCUUACGAUAACUCAUCAUGGUAUCUGGAUAGCGGUUGUUCCCGUCAUAUGACCGGAGAUAAAAAUUGGUUUACUUCCUUGACCAAAAUCUCCAGAGGACUUGUUGUUUUUGGGGACGGUCGAUCGUCAAAAAUUAUUGGAAAAGGAACAGUGACUAUCUCAGAUGGCCCUACAUUGAACGAUGUUUUUUAUGUUGAGGGGCUCAAAUCUAAUCUCGUAAGCAUAAGCCAACUGUGUGAUGAUGGGUAUUCUGUGAAUUUUUCGGGUAAAGAAUGCCAUGUGACUCGUGAUGACAAUCUGUUCUUAAAGGGCAUUAGAUCUAUGAAUAAUUGUUAUGUAGUUCCUAGUUCGGCCACUGAACAUUAUAACCUAGCGUCAUUAGAAACUGAAACUUUAUGGCAUGAACGACUAGGCCACAUCAACUUUAAGGAGCUAUCUAAGAUAACCAAGAAGGAGGUAGUUAGAGGUGUACCUAAGAUUGAUUUUAAAGAGAACACUGUGUGUGGGGGUUGCCAAUUAGGGAAACAAACUAGAUCCACACAUAAGAACUUGAACCACUUAGGGACAACUAAACCUCUAGAGUUACUUCACAUGGACUUGAUGGGACUAUCUAGGAUUCAAAGUUUGGGUGAAAACGUUAUAUUUUGCUUAUUGUUGAUGAUUUUACUCACUAUGUAUGGAGUGCUUUCUUACGAGAAAAAGCUGAUACUUUUAAUUNUUUUGUGUUUCAAAUGGUAUAAAACAUGAAUUCUCGGCUCCUUAUACACCCGAACAAAAUGGAGUGUAGAACACAAAAAUCGGGUUGUACAAGAAAUGGCACGUGUUAUGCUUCAUAGUAAGAAAAUUGCUUUACAUUUUUGGGCCGAAACAGUUAACACGACCGUCUAUGUUAUCAAUCGGAUUUAUGUGCGUCCGGGUACCUUGAAUACUCCGUAUGAACUUUGGCUUGGUAGGAAACCUAAUAUUAAAUACUUUCGUGUCUUAGGGAGUAAAUGUUUUAUCCUUCAGGAUCGUGAAAAUCUUGAAAAAUUUGACUCUCGAAGUGACGAGGGGAUCUUUCUUGGUUAUUCUACUACAAGUUGUGCUUAUCGUGCGUACAAUUUACGAUCUAAGACGGUGAUAGAAUCUAUCAAUAUAAAAGUAGAUGAAGUUUCGUCUGCAAGUUCUUCUGUGAAUGGUUCUUCUAAUUCUUUGGUGAAUGAUGAUGAUAAUGACUCUCCAUUUGUAUUGCCUGUGAAUGAUGAUGUUUCUGCUUUUGAUAAUUCCAUUGCAUCUUCUGAAAAUAUUGCAUCAAAUGAGUCAUCUGAGCCUCAAAGUAUCUCAUCUGAAAUACCUAAUACAUCAUCUGAGACUGCACUCCUGUUAGAGUCAAGAGAUCAUCCGUUAUCGAAUGUUAUUGGAGAUCCAAGUGUUGGUGUGCGAACUAGAAGUCAACUUCAAUGUGAAUUUGCAUAUUAUGUUUCUCUAAUUGAGCCAAAGAAUAUUGACGAAGCUCUUCUGGGUGAAUAUUGGAUAAAUGUCAUGCAAGAAAAACUUGGGCAAUUCAUCCGCAAUGAUGUAUGGGAAUUAGUGCCACGCCCUGAGCAACAAAAUGUUAUUGGUACUAAAUAGAUUUUUAAAAAUAAGAAAAAUAAGGAUGGUACAAUUGUUCGAAACAAAGCUAGACUUGUUGCUCAAGGUUAUUCACAAAUUGAAGGGAUUGAUUUUGAUGAAACCUUCGCCCCGGUUGCCCGUCUCGAAUCUAUUCGUAUUUUGUUCGCGAUAGCUUGUCAUUUGAAAAUUACUCUUUAUCAAAUGGAUGUAAAAAGUGCAUUUCUGAAUGGUUUUCUAAAAGAGGAAGUUUAUGUGGAACAACCAAAAGGUUUUGUAGAUUCUAAAUUUCCAAAUCAUAUUUUUCGUCUUAAGAAAGCACUUUAUGGACUCGAACAAGCAUCGCGAGCAUGGUAUGAACGAUUAACAAAAUAUCUUUUAGAAAAGAGAUACAACUGAGGGGAAGCGGAUAGAACUUUUUUUGUAAAACACAAUAAAAAUGAUUUUGUUGUCGCACAAAUCUAUGUGGAUGACAUUGUCUUCGGGGCAACUAAAGAUACAGUUGCCACUGAAUUUGCUAAGUUGAUGACUAGUGAGUUCGAGAUGUCUAUGAUGGGUGAGCUCUCAUAUUUCCUUAGUCUUCAAGUUAAACAAUCAAAUGAAGGAAUUCAUUUGUCUCAAACCAAGUAUGCAAAGGAAUUGGUUAAAAAAUUUGGUUUGGAUGGAGCAAAGAACUUUGAUACACCGAUGGGAACAAGUAAUAAAGGACUUGGAGUGAAUGUUGAAGGACAAAGUGUGGAUGAGAAACAGUACAGGAGCAUAAUCGGCAGUUUACUGUAUUUGACCGCGAGUAGACCGGAUAUUGCUUUUAGUGUGGGAAUUUGUGCUCGCUAUCAAGCUAAUCCAAAAGAAGUUCAUUUGAAAGCGGUUAAGAGAAUCAUACGAUAUGUUAAAUGUACAACCGCUUAUGGUCUAUGGUAUCCUAUAGGGACAUCUUUGGACUUAAUCGGAUACUCGGAUGCUGACUGGGCUGGUUCUGCAGAUGAUCGGAAAAGCACUAGUGGAGCUUGUUUUUACCUUGGACAUUGUCUUGUUGCGUGGCAUAGUAAAAAACAAAAUUGUAUUGCACUCUCCACUGCUGAGGCGGAAUACAUUGCGGCCGGUAGUUGCUCUACACAAUUACUAUGGAUGAAAAGCUUAUUGAGUGAUUAUCGGAUCUCCUCCACCACUUUUACAAUUCUAUGCGACAACACGAGUGCCAUAAAUAUUUCAAAAAACCAUGUUUUACAUUCACGAACAAAGCAUAUUGAACUAAGAUAUCACCUUUUAAGAGAAUUGGUUGAAUCAACUAUUCUUCAACUUGAAUAUGUUUCAACUGAAAAUCAACUUGCGGAUAUUUUAACUAAGCCUUUGGAUCAAAAACGUUUUCUACAUUUAAGAAAGGCUAUUGGUAUGAAUCCUUCAAACUAGAUACAUUCUAUUGGGGCAUAGAUCAUGUGCAUGUUGCAUUUUGUUUCUGUGCAUAUUUUUGUUUGGUUUUUCCUGAUUAUUCUUGAGAGAUGAUUGAAUUUCAUGAAUGUUGUCGCUGUUUUUGGGAGAUAAAUUGGUUUUUGUUAGCUCUAUCAUAUGACUUUAAUUGUUUCAUAUUAUGUUUUGAUUGAUCACUGUCAUUGUUAUUCUCUAUUGUCAUAAUUUUUGAACGAUCAAAUCGUUGAAAUUCUGUUUAGUAUUUUGAAUUAAAUUCAACACCUCAUGUUUCGAACUUUGAACGUUGCAAUUGUUUAUUUGAUUAUUAGGUGUGAGAUGAAUAACUCUUUCUCUAUUUUUGAAAUUGCAAUAAUAUUUUUGAUUUGAGGGUUGCACUAAUUUAGGGGGAGUCUUUCGGACUAUGGUUAUGGAAAUAUCUUAAAUUCAAAAGAUAUGGAAAGAGUUACAUCCCUGCUGGGAGUGUGAAAACUACCACCACAUGAAGGAAAGAGCUACCACCCCGGUUGUCCGGUCAGUGUGUGCAGCUACCACAUGAUGAUCAAUAUAUCUCUAUGAGUUAACAGCCAAUAAAGAAUAAAUAAAUAUGAGAUGUUGUGGAGAUGGUAAAAUUCUAAUACUAUGUUUAAUACAUCUCCUAGGCGAUAUAAGGUGGUUUGUUAAAAGAUGCUCAAAGAGUCACUCCUAUCUCGAAUUAUGUGCAUAACUCAAAUUGAGAAUAUUCUUUUAAUUUCAUGAUUAUGUGAUUUAUUUAUUCAAUUUCUUAACAAAUAUGAUGAUAAAAUGAUACAAUUAAUCCUUAGAUCUUGCAUGAUGUGUGGAAUUUUAUUUGAUACUUAUCAAGAAUUUUAUUUGAUUUUCGGAUCAACAAUAUUUGACGAAUUGAAUAUCUUUGAGAUUGUUUUUCAAAAUUUAUUUAUGAAAUUUUAUUGGAAGUCUUUGGGGAUGGAUAUUUUGUAUUUUUGAUGUUGGAUAUGUUGAGGAUAUUACUUAAAAUUUUUGAAAAUUUUGGACGAAAAAUAAAUUUUUUGGUUUUGGCUCUGGGACCGGUCCCAGACUUGGAGAGACCGGUCCCUCCGCCCAGACCGAUAUAAGGGUUUUGCGAUCCGUUUCUUCUCACUUUACCAACUUCGUUCAAAUUUCUCUCCAGAGCCUCUGAUAUCCCUAGGGUGCUUUUGCUUCCAUUCUUCAUCAAUUUACACUUGAUUUUGAUAUGAUUCUCGGAUUUUAUUUCGUUGUUGUCUUAUAAUCCGAAUUUAUGCUUUAUUUUCAAUUUUUUGGGGAUUUGAUCUUAUUAUGUUGUUAUAUCUCUUCAUUUUUGCCCUGAUCUUACCUCUAGACAUGUUAGUUAGCAUUUUCAUGCAUUACUCCAUACUUUGUUACAAUUGUUUGGGUGUUUUUGCUAUGUUUUCCUCAUCUAAACCUAUUUUUUUUUAAUUUUUUCGAAAAUGGGACUUUCUUCAUUUUUGAUGCUUGAUUUGUCCAUGAUUUUCAUGGUUAUGUGGCCCUAGAAUUAUCUAGUACAUUACAUAUAAAUUUUCUAAAGUUUUUUUUUAAUCACAAAUCAAUUAUUUUUAUGUUCAAUAUGUAUAAAUUAUUGUGUUUAACAGGGGUUUCUUCGAAAAUGUACUCGUGGCUACUUGUUCUUUUGGUUCUUAUGGCUGGCGGUGGUCGUGGAAGUAAGCGACAGCGCUCAAAAGCUAAAAGGCCAAUUAAGUAUCAACCGGAGGAUGAAGAGAGCGAAUAUGCUCCUGGCGAUGAACCUGAGGAGGACGAGCCGGAUUGGGAGACUUUUGUUCCCGAGGUAUUGGCUAAGGAUAAGGAUACUGGGAAAGGCAAAGGAAAAGGAAAAGCCGUGGAUAAAGGCAAAGGAAAGGCAACUGAGCGUCCCAGUCGUCGUAAGUCCGGGGGUGUUGAAAUUCGAGAACCGGGCUCUGAACCACCACGUCACAGUCUACAGGAUGUUCCAUCUAAUCGACGGUCGAUGUACUCGUCGAAACACUGCAUUGGUGAGCGAGAUGUUGGGGUGGCCAGUAUCAUUAGUUGUGUGCCGGGUUUUCAGGAUUUAUUUGAACAGGGGAAUCUUCAUCAGAUUUGUGAUUUCCCGGAGCAAACCGGUUAUUGUUUGGAGUUGAUCAGAGAAUUUUACANUUACACCUAUUCACCCCCCUCUAGGUGUUAUUUACCUUUUAGAUCCUCGGGAUCCAUAUUUAACAACACAUUGUAACUUGAUCACUUUCAAUCAAAUACAAAGCUUGUACAUUUACUUUACAUUCAUUCUUCCAAUUUACGUAACCAUCUCCCAAAUGAAUUAAUUACAUUUCAUAUACAUUUUACAUUCAUCGACAUAAUAGAUGAAAUAUAC